RNAcentral lists this ribosomal RNA (354 nucleotides) under Triticum aestivum (bread wheat). RNAcentral describes it as "partial small subunit ribosomal RNA". The record is from RNAcentral. Lineage: Eukaryota; Viridiplantae; Streptophyta; Magnoliopsida; Poales; Poaceae.
AUGUCCCGGUUAUUUACUGCCAUGCACAUGCGCGAGCAAACGAUGGGAGAGGGGGGAAAAAGGAGGGCAUUGAUUCGGUGUUUUUUUUGUUAUACUGUUGCUCACCUCUCUGCGGCGACGGUCGCGGCGGGCCCAUGGACGCAAUGUUGCAGUUGGCGCGCCGGCCGGCGAUCAUCGGGUUCGGGUUCUGCACCGCCUGCUGCGCCGCCUCCGGGUCCCGGAACGUCACCUGCGGAGAGAAGAGAAGAUGGGAACGCGCCCGAUGAGAACGACGCACGGAUCGCCGGCGAUGGCGUAUGUAUCGGCGAGAGGGAGGGAGAGAGGGGGGAGGGAGGAGGACGUACGAAUCCGUAG